UGUAAUACAUGAACUACUCGUUCCGCCUGCUCUGGCAUGCCCAUCUGCAAAGAGUUCAUAGUAGUUUAAAGCUGUGAUUGGAGAAUGGCAUACGUUGUACACAGUGAUAGUCUAGAGCCUUCAUUAAGUCAUCAGCUGCUGUGAAGGUGUAAUAAGUUUAAGAAACACAAAACAAACGGAAAAAAUUGCCCAUCACAAAUCAGGGUAAUUAUAUCUUGAGGCUUCGUAAUGAGGAUAUUAUUGCUGUGGAUGAUUGUCACCUGCAGCGUCCUUUGCCUUAAUCAUACGCAUGCAGGUGAAUGCAAGGGGACAUGCUCACCUACGGAGCGAAUCCCGCUUGUUGGGAGGGGACAAGUGCAGUGGAUGUACAGCCCGAAUAACGAGAGUACAUGCCGGAAGGUUAGGAGACGACUAUGUAGAGCCCUGCGAAGGUUCUUUGGAAGCUGCAUUGAAUGUAUUCAAGAAUGUUUCACUCCUCCAGAGGGCAUAACUCCCAAACAGUACAGUAUGAUGCUGUGCAAGGACCCUGUAAGAGGGUAGUGAACUGCCGCUAUUGAAAUUUUUAUGAGGAGAACCUGACGGAGUGCUGUAUCGGUUCAUAAAAGUGAUGAAAGGUUCUUGCGCAACAAAAAGAAAAGCUUUGAGAUUAUGUCGGCGCGAAUACGCAGUUCCACGAAUAAUAAAUACUACUUGUAUU
Molecule: long non-coding RNA, 697 nt
Organism: Rhipicephalus microplus (southern cattle tick)
Lineage: Eukaryota; Metazoa; Arthropoda; Arachnida; Ixodida; Ixodidae
Source: RefSeq, a predicted model, not a curated record